This 380-nucleotide ribosomal RNA is filed under the name uncultured organism. RNAcentral's name for it is "bacterial SSU rRNA". It matches the Rfam family "Bacterial small subunit ribosomal RNA", at positions 367 to 762 of the family's 1533-position model. The record is from RNAcentral.
CGCAAUGGGCGAAAGCCUGAUGGAGCGACGCCGCGUGGUGGAUGAAGUCCUUUGGGACGUAAACACCUUUUAUGAGGGAGGAAAUUUUGACGUUACCUCAAGAAUAAGGGGCUCCUAACUCUGUGCCAGCAGGAGCGGUAAUACAGAGGCCCCGAGCAUUAUCCGGAUUUACUGGGCGUAAAGGGUGUGUAGGUGGCAUAGUUAGUCUUUCGUUAAAUCUCAGGGCUCAACCCUGAAAUCGCGAAGGAAACGGCUAUACUCGAGGAUACGAGAGGUAGAGGGAACUCAUGGUGUAGGGGUGAAAUCCGUUGAUAUCAUGGGGAACACCAAAUGCGAAGGCACUCUACUGGCGUACUCCUGACACUGAAACACGAAAGCGU